GUGAAUCAUCAAAUCUUUGAACGCAAAUUGCACUCUCUGGUAUUCCGGAGGGUAUGCCUGUUUGAGGGUCAGUUUAAAUAAAAAUCGGUGUGGUUGCUGCCUUUCGUGGUGACGCACCGGAUUUGGGUCGUCUUGCCUUCGGUUAAGUGACCUAAAAUUUUGCAUGAUUUUUUUUCGAACGUAUUUAAAUGAUUUUACGUAGGUUGGCGAUAUAGAUUCUAAGGUGUGGUUAUCCU
Molecule: unclassified non-coding RNA, 236 nt
Filed under: Glomus sp.
Lineage: Eukaryota; Fungi; Glomeromycota; Glomeromycetes; Glomerales; Glomeraceae
Description: partial contains 5.8S ribosomal RNA and internal transcribed spacer 2
Rfam family: 5.8S ribosomal RNA (bases 1-71)
Source: RNAcentral